This 70-nucleotide transfer RNA is filed under the name Tetragonula pagdeni. Its description in RNAcentral is "tRNA-Glu". It matches the Rfam family "tRNA". Rfam says of the family: Transfer RNA (tRNA) molecules are approximately 80 nucleotides in length. Their secondary structure includes four short double-helical elements and three loops (D, anti-codon, and T loops). The record is from RNAcentral. Lineage: Eukaryota; Metazoa; Arthropoda; Insecta; Hymenoptera; Apidae. RNAcentral also lists the same sequence under 1 other name.
ACUCGCAUAGUAUAAGAGUAAUUACGCUUAAUUUUCAAUUAAGAGAUUCGGAUUGUCCCAGAUGCGCGUA